UACGUAGGGUGCAAGCGUUGUCCGGAAUUAUUGGGCGUAAAGAGCUCGUAGGCGGUUUGUCGCGUCUGCUGUGAAAACUCGGGGCUUAACCCCGGGCCUGCAGUGGGUACGGGCAGACUAGAGUGCGGUAGGGGAGACUGGAAUUCCUGGUGUAGCGGUGAAAUGCGCAGAUAUCAGGAGGAACACCGGUGGCGAAGGCGGGUCUCUGGGCCGUAACUGACGCUGAGAAGCGAAAGCAUGGGGAGCGAACAGG
This 253-nucleotide ribosomal RNA is filed under the name uncultured bacterium. RNAcentral describes it as "partial 16S ribosomal RNA". It matches the Rfam family "Bacterial small subunit ribosomal RNA", at positions 524 to 776 of the family's 1533-position model. The record is from RNAcentral.